UACAGAGGGUGCAAGCGUUAAUCGGAAUUACUGGGCGUAAAGCGCGCGUAGGUGGUUUGUUAAGUUGGAUGUGAAAGCCCCGGGCUCAACCUGGGAACUGCAUUGGAAACUGGCGAGCUUGAGUAUGGCAGAGGGGGGUGGAAUUCCGCGUGUAGCAGUGAAAUGCGUAGAUAUCAGGAGGAACACCGGUGGCGAAGGCGGCUUUCUGGACAGAUACCGACGCUGAGGCACGAAAGCUAGGGGAGCAAACAGG
RNAcentral lists this ribosomal RNA (253 nucleotides) under uncultured prokaryote. Its description in RNAcentral is "partial 16S ribosomal RNA". It matches the Rfam family "Bacterial small subunit ribosomal RNA", at positions 524 to 776 of the family's 1533-position model. The record is from RNAcentral.